RNAcentral lists this unclassified non-coding RNA (1028 nucleotides) under Hevea brasiliensis (rubber tree). The record is from RNAcentral. Lineage: Eukaryota; Viridiplantae; Streptophyta; Magnoliopsida; Malpighiales; Euphorbiaceae.
GAAAAAGACGAGUCAUUUAUAUUGGCACUAGUGUCAUUCAAGUUGAGCAAAACUGAGAAGAUUACAUUGAUAAAUGAUUAUGCAUAACUAAAGUUUCAUCUUCCUCCUAUAUUAUCAUGAUAACAACAACAUAAACCAGCGGGCAUGACGUCUUUACUGGUCCCUUCUACACAAAUCACCUCGCGUCCAAGUUGUUCAACUAAUUCUCUGUAGUUUUGAUAUCCACCUUCGGGUCCAAAUUCAACAUAUGUAACUAGCCUUAGCAUGAGAGUUGAGGCACAAAAAAUUGUUCUGAUGUAUGCGUACAAUGAGCACAUUCAGCUGUCUCUGCUUUUAGAUCUUUUUGAUUUCUUAAUAUGAUUUUCAGAUUUCAGCUUUCCCUUGUAGGGUACUAAGUUAUCUGGCUCAAGCAAUUCAGCAGCCCUUUUGUUGCCUAUCCUCUUCUCCGUAAUGCUGUAAGCUUGAGACUCUUCUGCUUUCGUUUCCAACCAUUGAAUAUUUCCUGUGUUAUCUGGAAUUAAUGACCCACACAUAUGUAGUAUCUCUUCAUCAAAAUUCUUAACUGAGAACCGUAGAGUAGUUCCCACUUUGAUCCUGUGUUUCUUGUUUGAUCUGCUAACAAAAACUUCUUUCCCGUGUUUAAUUUUAUACUUGAAAUCUUCUCGAAUGUCCUCAUCUGCUAUGACAGCCGAAGAAAAACCAAGAACAACUAUGUGAAUAGACUGCUGGCCAACUUUAACGACCUCACCUUCUAAUAGCAUUUCUGGCUUUGGAUUAAAAAGUAGCAAUUUUGCUUCAAGUUUCACACCAAAAUAAGGGUGAAUUCCUGGAAGAAUUCUAGCCAAAUUGCUACUGAACUUGGGUUCAUAAGUCAAUACCACACCAUCUAAAGCUUCAUUAAACUUGAAAAGCAGUGAACUGAGUUCGCGAUAAACUGCGGUUUCGACAUUUUUGGCGUUUGAUGGAUGUAAAUACACAAGCAAAUUCGCCCUACACUCUUUCAGAGCCUCCAUUGAUGCCCAAUUUUG